This 527-nucleotide long non-coding RNA is filed under the name Marmota monax (woodchuck). The record is from RNAcentral. Lineage: Eukaryota; Metazoa; Chordata; Mammalia; Rodentia; Sciuridae.
CUAAAAAGAACAAAUAAAAACAGGUUUUCCAUUUUUUGUCUAUUUAGGGUUCCUGAAGAGUGUUCCCCCAAAAUUCAUGUCUACCUGAAACUGAAACUGAGUUCAUGUGUCCUUUUUUGGAAAUAGGAUCUUUGCAGAUGCAAUCAAGUUAAGAGGAGGUCAUACCAGAUUAGACUGAGUCUAUGUCUACUCAUUGGUGUCCUUAUGAGAAGAAAUUUUGGAUAUACAGAUACACACAGAGAAAAGACAGCCAUGUGAAGAUGGAGGCAGAGAUUGGAGUGAGGGUGCCACAAACCAAGGAAUACUAAGGACUAUCAGCAGCCAUCAGAAGCUAGGAAGAGGCAAAGAAAGAUCCAACCCUGAAGCCUUCUGCAAGAGCAUGACCCUACCUACAUCUUAAUUUCAGACGUCUAGUUUCCAGAACUGUGAGAAUAAAUUUCUCUUAAGCUACUCAGCUCGUGGUAAUUUAUUAAUCUAUUACCACAAUCCUAAGAAACUAAUACAGUGCCUGUUAAAUUACAUCUCUA